ACAAAACCCCAACUUCCCUCUUCCCUUCUUUCUCAUAACCCACAUGAUCCCAAACUCACCCGACCCAAACACCGCUGACGCUUCGCGUGCUCACCCAUCCCGAAGCUGCCCAACGCAGAAUGCUAACUUCCAUUUGAACACUGAAUGUCGAACGCCUAACGUGAACGUGAACAUCGCUCCGUGCUCCCUUGCUCGCCGAAUGUCGAAUGCCAAACACGCUCCCUUGCUCGCCGAAUGUCGAAUGCCAAACACGCUCCCUUGCUCGCCAAACGCCUAGUCCAUGGUGGCAUGACAACGUGAUUGAUUCAGAUGCAUCUUAUUUUCGCUUAGUUUUCCUACAUCUAUGAUUUUGAGGUUCUUAUCGCCCUUGUUUGGACGACGAUGGACCCUUCCAUCGUCAUCUUUGUCGUCCUCUCUCAUUCUUUAUAGGGUGGGAAGUAGAAUCUACCACUUUUGAGUUUCUUUUCAUUUGGUUGCUUGUUUUAAGCUGAUGGACAAGGAAAAACCCCAAAGCCAUGGGGGAGGAUUUCUACACCAAUCAAGUCGUUACUCGGGUUUUUCAUCUGCUGAAAGUAGUUUCGAUGGAAAAUCUGAGGCAACAUCGUCUUCCAUCUCAUUCCCUCUAUUGGCUCCGAGUACUAAUUCUGAUUGGGGUCAAUCUGAUCGUGGAUUGUCCAUUGAUUCCACUCGGUUCAGCCAUGAUAUUAGUCGGAUGCCUAAAAAUCCACAGAGAAAUGUUAGUCAUAGGCGUGCCCAUUCAGAGAUCUUGACCCUCCCAGAUUAUAUUUGUUUCGAUAGUGACCUUGGUAUCAUUGGCGGGGCUUAUGUGCCUUCUCUUUCUGAUGAUACUGAGGAAGAUUUGUUGUCCAUGUACCUUGACAUGGAUAAAUUCAAUUCCUCGAUUGCUACUUCUGCAAAUCAAGUGGGUGACUCAUCUUCUUCCCUUGUAGAAGCAGCAACAGCAACUUCUACAGAAGAUAUUGUUGUUGGAUUGAAAGAGAGACCCAAAGUUAGACAUCAGCAGCAACUCAAAAGUGCCAUUUUUAAGAAAUGGAAAGAAAGGAGAAAAUUCCGAAAACGUCUUGUAGCUGCAAAAACGAAGCUGUCUGAAAUGGAACAAAAGCAUCCACAAUAUGGAAGCUUUUUUAGGUCACUUCCGAGACCACUGCCCAUCGUUGUAGCUGGGUGCUACUCCAUCACAGAAGAAGAAAGUUGUCAAAGAAGAAGUUGAUAAAGGAAGAUAAAGUGCCAAAUUAGUGCAGUCUAGUUUGCACUCCUGGAUUAAGCUCGAACAUCUAUAAAUGCAAAAUCAUAUUGUUUUAGACAUACAAACUCUCAAUAAAUUGUAAAUAGGGAAGCAUUGUCAUCUCGGAUUCGAUUGAUACACGAAAACCAUAUUCACAGGUUGAGUUAGAUGAGGUGCGCGUUGAGUUGGCUGAUUUUUUGGGUUCGUACAUAUGAUCUACGACUUAUUUGUGAUUCUGAAGCAGGAAAUUUUUUUUUGGCUAAUUUUUUGAAUUGUUCAUAUGGAGGGGUUGAUUGAUAUACUUUUAAGACUUUGUUGUGGUUUAGGGUUUAGGUGAAUUGUUCAUAUAUAGGAAGAUUGUCAUUGUGAAACUUUAUGUGUGGAGAUGAUAUACUUUUGGGCUAAGUUAGUUUAUUAGAUGAUGUUGAGUUGAAUUCUUGAAAAUCUGAUGGAAUUGUUUAUAUUGGUUUUGUAAAUGAUAUGAAUAUGAUGCAAAGUUUUGAAAAUGAUAUGAAUAGAUGAUGUUGAGUUGCCAUUUGAUGAA
RNA transcript from Cucumis melo (muskmelon), 1790 nucleotides. It is a transcript of the gene named probable transcription factor PosF21, with no coding region annotated. Lineage: Eukaryota; Viridiplantae; Streptophyta; Magnoliopsida; Cucurbitales; Cucurbitaceae. The record is from RefSeq and is a predicted model, not a curated record. The transcript is spliced from 6 exons.